GAAAUCGGUAGACGCUACGGACUUGAAAAUCCGUUGGCUUUAUUGACCGUGAGGGUUCAAGUCCCUCUACCCCCA
Molecule: transfer RNA, 75 nt
Filed under: Lescuraea saxicola
Lineage: Eukaryota; Viridiplantae; Streptophyta; Bryopsida; Hypnales; Leskeaceae
Also listed under: 3 other names
Description: partial tRNA-Leu
Rfam family: tRNA
About the family: Transfer RNA (tRNA) molecules are approximately 80 nucleotides in length. Their secondary structure includes four short double-helical elements and three loops (D, anti-codon, and T loops). Further hydrogen bonds mediate the characteristic L-shaped molecular structure. tRNAs have two regions of fundamental functional importance: the anti-codon, which is responsible for specific mRNA codon recognition, and the 3' end, to which the tRNAs corresponding amino acid is attached (by aminoacyl-tRNA synthetases). tRNAs cope with the degeneracy of the genetic code in two manners: having more than one tRNA (with a specific anti-codon) for a particular amino acid; and 'wobble' base-pairing, i.e. permitting non-standard base-pairing at the 3rd anti-codon position.
Source: RNAcentral